This 149-nucleotide small nuclear RNA is filed under the name Podarcis muralis (Common wall lizard). Its description in RNAcentral is "U2 spliceosomal RNA (ENSPMRG00000007715.1)". It matches the Rfam family "U2 spliceosomal RNA". Rfam says of the family: U2 is a small nuclear RNA (snRNA) component of the spliceosome (involved in pre-mRNA splicing). Complementary binding between U2 snRNA (in an area lying towards the 5' end but 3' to hairpin I) and the branchpoint sequence (BPS) of the intron results the bulging out of an unpaired adenosine, on the BPS, which initiates a nucleophilic attack at the intronic 5' splice site, thus starting the first of two transesterification reactions that mediate splicing. Lineage: Eukaryota; Metazoa; Chordata; Lepidosauria; Squamata; Lacertidae. The record is from Rfam by way of RNAcentral.
CUCGCUUCUCGGCCUUUUGGCUAAGAUCAAGUGUAGUGUGUGUGCAGCACAUAAUUAACAUGGAAUUUACUGCCAUGGCAUAUGGUGGCAGAUGCUAACUUUUUAAAAGGAUUAGAUUAAUUCAUUUAUUUUUUUAAAAAAGACUCCCU